GCAUAUCAAUAAGCGGAGGAAAAGAAACCAACAGGGAUUGCCUCAGUAACGGCGAAGUGAAGCGGCAACAGCUCAAAUUUGAAAUCUGGCUCCUUCGGAGUCCGAGUUGUAAUUUGUAGAAGAUGCUUCGGGCGUGGCUCCGGUCUAAGUUCCUUGGAACAGGACGUCAUAGAGGGUGAGAAUCCCGUAUGUGACUGGGUGCCUAUGCCCGUGUGAAGCUCUUUCGACGAGUCGAGUUGUUUGGGAAUGCAGCUCUAAAUGGGUGGUAAAUUUCAUCUAAAGCUAAAUAUUGGCCAGAGACCGAUAGCGCACAAGUAGAGUGAUCGAAAGAUGAAAAGCACUUUGGAAAGAGAGUUAAAUAGUACGUGAAAUUGUUGAAAGGGAAGCUCUUGCAACCAGACUUGCGCGUCGCUGAUCAUCCGGUGUUCUCACCGGUGCGCUCAGCGGCGCUCAGGCCAGCAUCAGUUUCGGUGGUUGGAUAAAGGCCCUGGGAAUGUGGCUCUCUUCGGGGAGUGUUAUAGCCCAGGGUGCAAUGCAGCCUACCGGGACUGAGGACCGCGCUUCGGCUAGGAUGCUGGCGUAAUGGUUGCAAGCGACCCGUCUUGAAACACGGACCAAGGAGUCUAACAUCUAUGCGAGUGUUUGGGUGUCAAACCCAUGCGCGUAAUGAAAGUGAACGGAGGUGAGAGCCCUUCAGGGUGCAUCAUCGACCGAUCCUGAUGUCUUCGGAUGGAUUUGAGUAAGAGCAUACAUGCUGGGACCCGAAAGUUAGUGAACUAUACUUGAAUAGGGUGAAGCCAGAGGAAACUCUGGUGGAGGCUCGCAGCGGUUUCUGACGUGCAAAUCGAUCGUCAAAUUUGGGUAUAGGGGCGAAAGACUAAUCGAACUAACUAGUAGCUGGGUCUGCGGA
Molecule: ribosomal RNA, 910 nt
Filed under: Xylogone sphaerospora
Lineage: Eukaryota; Fungi; Ascomycota; Leotiomycetes
Description: LSU rRNA
Rfam family: Eukaryotic large subunit ribosomal RNA
Source: RNAcentral